This 506-nucleotide ribosomal RNA is filed under the name uncultured bacterium. RNAcentral's name for it is "partial 16S ribosomal RNA". It matches the Rfam family "Bacterial small subunit ribosomal RNA", at positions 28 to 523 of the family's 1533-position model. The record is from RNAcentral.
GAUGAACGCUAGCUACAGGCUUAACACAUGCAGGUCGAGGGGUAACGAGAGGAAAGCUUGCUUUCCUUGUCGACGACCGGCGCACGGGUGAGUAACGCGUAUCCAACCUGCCCCCAACUAAGGAAUAACCUUGCGAAAGUAAGACUAAUACCUUAUAAUUUCCUCAGAUGUCAUCUGACGAGGAAUAAAGAUUUAUCGGUUGUGGAUGGGGAUGCGUCUGAUUAGCUUGUUGGCGGGGUAACGGCCCACCAAGGCAACGAUCAGUAGGGGUUCUGAGAGGAAGGUCCCCCACAUUGGGACUGAGACACGGUCCAAACUCCUACGGGAGGCAGCAGUGAGGAAUAUUGGUCAAUGGGCGAAAGCCUGAACCAGCCAAGUAGCGUGCAGGAUGACGGCCCUAUGGGUUGUAAACUGCUUUUAUACAGGAAUAAAGUUAGCCACGUGUGGUUAUUUGUAGGUACUGUAUGAAUAAGGACCGGCUAAUUCUGUGCCAGCCGCCGCGGUAA